RNAcentral lists this ribosomal RNA (253 nucleotides) under uncultured bacterium. Its description in RNAcentral is "partial 16S ribosomal RNA". It matches the Rfam family "Bacterial small subunit ribosomal RNA", at positions 524 to 776 of the family's 1533-position model. The record is from RNAcentral.
UACGAAGGGGGCUAGCGUUGUUCGGAAUUACUGGGCGUAAAGCGUGCGCAGGCGGUCCCGCAAGUCCGCUGUGAAAGCCCCGGGCUUAACCUGGGAAUGGCAGUGGAAACUAUGGGACUUGAAUCUGGCAGAGGGGGGUGGAAUGCCACGUGUAGCAGUGAAAUGCGUAGAGAUGAGGCGGAACACCGAUGGCGAAGGCAGCCCCCUGGGCUGAGAUUGACGCUCAGGCACGAAAGCGUGGGGAGCAAACAGG